RNAcentral lists this ribosomal RNA (433 nucleotides) under uncultured bacterium. Its description in RNAcentral is "partial 16S ribosomal RNA". It matches the Rfam family "Bacterial small subunit ribosomal RNA", at positions 29 to 507 of the family's 1533-position model. The record is from RNAcentral.
AACGAACGCUGGCGGCAUGCCUAACACAUGCAAGUCGAACGAGACCUUCGGGUCUAGAGGCGCACGGGUGCGUAACGCGUGGGAACCUGCCCUUAGGUUCGGAAUAACUCCCCGAAAGGGGUGCUAAUACCGGAUAAUGUCUUCGGACCAAAGAUUUAUCGCCUUUGGAUGGGCCCGCGUUGGAUUAGCUAGUUGGUAGGGUAAAAGCCUACCAAGGCGACGAUCCAUAGCUGGUCUGAGAGGAUGAUCAGCCACACUGGGACUGAGACACGGCCCAGACUCCUACGGGAGGCAGCAGUGGGGAAUAUUGGACAAUGGGCGAAAGGCUGAUCCAGCAAUGCCGCGUGAGUGAUGAAGGCCUUAGGGUUGUAAAGCUCUUUUACCCGGGAUGAUAAUGACAGUACCGGGAGAAUAAGCUCCGGCUAACUCCGUG